GACGAACGCUGGCGGCGUGCCUAAUACAUGCAAGUAGGACGCACAGUCUAUACCGUAGCUUGCUACACCAUAGGCUGUGAGUUGCGAACGGGUGAGUAACGCGUAGGUAACCUGCCUAUUAGAGGGGGAUAACUAUUGGAAACGAUAGCUAAUACCGCAUAACAGUAUGUAACACAUGUUAGAUGCUUGAAGGAUGCAAUUGCAUCGCUAGUAGAUGGACCUGCGUUGUAUUAGCUAGUAGGUAGGGUAAUGGCCUACCUAGGCGACGAUACAUAGCCGACCUGAGAGGGUGAUCGGCCACACUGGGACUGAGACACGGCCCAGACUCCUACGGGAGGCAGCAGUAGGGAAUCUUCGGCAAUGGGGGGAACCCUGACCGAGCAACGCCGCGUGAGUGAAGAAGGUUGUCGGAUCGUAAAGCUCGGUUGUUAAGGAAGAACGAGUGUGAGAAUGGAAAGUUCAUACUGUGACGGUACUUAACCAGAAAGGGACGGCUAACUACGUG
This 505-nucleotide ribosomal RNA is filed under the name uncultured bacterium. RNAcentral's name for it is "partial 16S ribosomal RNA". It matches the Rfam family "Bacterial small subunit ribosomal RNA", at positions 28 to 507 of the family's 1533-position model. The record is from RNAcentral.